GAUGAACGCUGGCGGCGUGCCUAAUACAUGCAAGUAGAACGCUGAAGGGGGAGCUUGCUCUUCUGGAUGAGUUGCGAACGGGUGAGUAACGCGUAGGUAACCUGCCUGGUAGCGGGGGAUAACUAUUGGAAACGAUAGCUAAUACCGCAUGACAACAGUUAUUGCAUGAUAACUGUUUAAAAGGGGCAACUGCUCCACUACCAGAUGGACCUGCGUUGUAUUAGCUAGUUGGUGAGGUAACGGCUCGCCAAGGCGACGAUACAUAGCCGACCUGAGAGGGUGAUCGGCCACACUGGGACUGAGACACGGCCCAGACUCCUACGGGAGGCAGCAGUAGGGAAUCUUCGGCAAUGGACGGAAGUCUGACCGAGCAACGCCGCGUGAGUGAAGAAGGUUUUCGGAUCGUAAAGCUCUGUUGUAAGAGAAGAACGAGUGUGAGAGUGGAAAGUUCACACUGUGACGGUAUCUUACCAGAAAGGGACGGCUAACUACGUG
RNAcentral lists this ribosomal RNA (495 nucleotides) under uncultured bacterium. RNAcentral describes it as "partial 16S ribosomal RNA". It matches the Rfam family "Bacterial small subunit ribosomal RNA", at positions 28 to 507 of the family's 1533-position model. The record is from RNAcentral.